RNAcentral lists this ribosomal RNA (458 nucleotides) under uncultured bacterium. Its description in RNAcentral is "SSU rRNA". It matches the Rfam family "Bacterial small subunit ribosomal RNA", at positions 26 to 518 of the family's 1533-position model. The record is from RNAcentral.
AGAAUCAACGCUGGCGGCGUGCCUAACACAUGCAAGUCGCACGAGAAAGGGGAGCAAUCCCUGAGUACAGUGGCGCACGGGUGAGUAACACGUGAAUCAUCUACCUCCGAAUGGGGAAUAACUGAGAGAAAUCUUAGCUAAUACCGCAUAAUACCCACGGGUCAAAGCAGCAAUGCGCUUGGAGAGGAGUUCGCGGCAGAUUAGUUAGUUGGCGGGGUAAUGGCCCACCAAGACGAUGAUCUGUAUCCGGCCUGAGAGGGCGCACGGACACACUGGAACUGAAACACGGUCCAGACUCCUACGGGAGGCAGCAGUGGGGAAUUUUGCGCAAUGGGGGAAACCCUGACGCAGCAACGCCGCGUGGAGGAUGAAGCCCCUUGGGUGUAAACUCCUUUCGAUCGGGAAGAUAAUGACGGUACCGAUAUAAGAAGCCCGGCUAACUUCGCGCCAGCAGCCGC